CCUACGGGAGGCAGCAGUGAGGAAUAUUGGGCAAUGGACGAGAGUCUGAACCAGCCAAGUAGCGUGAAGGAUGACUGCCCUAUGGGUUGUAAACUUCUUUUAUAAAGGAAUAAAACGAGGCACGUGUGCCUUUUUGCAUGUACUUUAUGAAUAAGGAUCGGCUAACUCCGUGCCAGCAGCCGCGGUAAUACGGAGGAUCCGAGCGUUAUCCGGAUUUAUUUGGUUUAAAGGGGGCGUAGAUGGGUUGUUAAGUCAGUUGUGAAAGUUUGCGGCUCAACCGUAAAAUUGCAAUUGAUACUGGCAGUCUUGAGUACAGUUGAGGUAGGCGGAAUUCGUGGUGUAGCGGUGAAAUGCUUAGAUAUCACGAAGAACCCCGAUUGCGAAGGCAGCUUACUAAACUGUGACUGACAUUGAUGCUCGAAAGUGUGGGUAUCAAACAGGAUUAGAUACCCGGGUAGUC
This 460-nucleotide ribosomal RNA is filed under the name uncultured bacterium. RNAcentral's name for it is "partial 16S ribosomal RNA". It matches the Rfam family "Bacterial small subunit ribosomal RNA", at positions 338 to 795 of the family's 1533-position model. The record is from RNAcentral.